AUUGAACGCUGGCGGCAUGCCUUACACAUGCAAGUCGAACGGCAGCACGGGAGCAAUCCUGGUGGCGAGUGGCGAACGGGUGAGUAAUAUAUCGGAACGUGCCCAGUCGUGGGGAUAACGUAGCGAAAGCUACGCUAAUACCGCAUACGAUCUACGGAUGAAAGCGGGGGAUCGCAAGACCUCGCGCGAUUGGAGCGGCCGAUAUCAGAUUAGGUAGUUGGUGAGGUAAAGGCUCACCAAGCCGACGAUCUGUAGCUGGUCUGAGACGGACGACCAGCCACACUGGGACUGAGACACGGCCCAGACUCCUACGGGAGGCAGCAGUGGGGAAUUUUGGACAAUGGGCGCAAGCCUGAUCCAGCAAUGCCGCGUGCAGGAUGAAGGCCU
RNAcentral lists this ribosomal RNA (387 nucleotides) under uncultured bacterium. RNAcentral's name for it is "bacterial SSU rRNA". It matches the Rfam family "Bacterial small subunit ribosomal RNA", at positions 30 to 417 of the family's 1533-position model. The record is from RNAcentral.